RNAcentral lists this ribosomal RNA (253 nucleotides) under uncultured bacterium. Its description in RNAcentral is "partial 16S ribosomal RNA". It matches the Rfam family "Bacterial small subunit ribosomal RNA", at positions 524 to 776 of the family's 1533-position model. The record is from RNAcentral.
AACGUAGGAGACAAACGUUAUCCGGAGUUACUGGGCGUAAAGGGCGUGUAGGCGGUCUGUUAAGUCUGGCGUGAAAGCUCUCGGCUAAACCGGGAGAGGUCGUUGGAUACUGGCAGAUUAGAGGACGGUAGAGGCGUGUGGAAUUCCGGGUGUAGUGGUGAAAUGCGUAGAGAUCCGGAGGAACACCAGUGGCGAAGGCGACACGCUGGGCCGUACCUGACGCUAAAGCGCGACAGCAUGGGGAGCAAACGGG